This 476-nucleotide small RNA is filed under the name Histoplasma capsulatum. RNAcentral's name for it is "hypothetical RNA". RNAcentral also lists the same sequence under 1 other name. The record is from RNAcentral. Lineage: Eukaryota; Fungi; Ascomycota; Eurotiomycetes; Onygenales; Ajellomycetaceae.
UGGAUCUGUCCAAAGAUGCGCAGUUGCCGUCUUUUGGCUCAAGGCCUGGCCAAACCCGUUUUCCUGCAGAAAAUAACAGAGGUGGAGCGACUGGCGAUGAUAAUAAUGCAAGGGACCGCCUCUCCGCUGUCAAGAUGCCAGAUAAACGGGUCGUCCGUUGCUUGAGCAGAAAUGUCGCUCUGAGGCCACUUUGUCUUAACCUCACUGCUCUCGCACAAAAGUGAGUGUCUAACGCAAGUGCAUCACAAACUCGUGAUGAUUUGGCACGAGUGCUUUACCUCAGCAUCUUGAGGAGAAAGCAAACAUGGCUGGGAAACUUCAGGGGAGAUGGCGCUUUUGCCCCACAGUUCUCGCGCAUAAAUUUACGAGAAAGUUUCAAGUUUUGAUUGGGUAUCAAUCCCUAGUGCCUGAGCGAGGCUAUUGCCCCUAUCUCACCCUGCUUCCUUGUCCAUCGACAUCAGUAACAACAUGAGACU